RNAcentral lists this ribosomal RNA (309 nucleotides) under Triticum aestivum (bread wheat). RNAcentral's name for it is "partial small subunit ribosomal RNA". Lineage: Eukaryota; Viridiplantae; Streptophyta; Magnoliopsida; Poales; Poaceae. The record is from RNAcentral.
AUGGAUGCUUUCCUUUAUGUGAGAUUAUAUACAUUAUCUUACUUGAUCUGCAAUGUUUCUUUGGAAAUUUUUUAUGAAAGACACAUGACACAUAGUUUGCUGGAUAGGUCUAAGAUAAAUAUUUCAGUUAUAGGAGGAUAUUUUUUAAUGGGUAAUACUAUUACCGAUAUCUGCUUGGUCUGUUGUGCUUUUGGUAGAGCUUUCAUAUUUCAACACAAAAACAACAAUGCAAGUUGGGACCAGAAUAGGACACACAUCCUCAAAGGAAACAUUAGUUGGGAGUGCUCAAGUAUUCAGUUUCUUGGAUGA